UGCUGGUAGUGCUGGUGUCGGUGUAGCAGUAGGGGUUAACCUAACAUAUAUAGCCGACAAUUGUUCCGCCUCAGCCUCCUAUGUGUUGUGAUCGGGGUGCGUCACCAGGUGUCGAUGAGCCCCGUGUCUCGCAAGGCAAUCAGCAGUCUCCCUCUCUUCGCGAUUGCCGCAGGCCCUCCAGGGAAAAUGACGUCUGCAAAGGUUGAACCGCGGAGCUCAGUGAAGAAGCGAGGACUCGCAGUCUGGUGCUCAACAAACAACUGCAUCGAAUGAGCACGACGACAGAUGGUUCGACGCUGCAUUACGCACAAAAAAACACGUGCCACACGUGUUGACAUGCACCCAUCCCGCUGCAAACAGGGGUUUCAUUGGUUCCUUGCAUGACGGGUUGAAAUUGCACAGCCGACUUUGAAGCUACGAAAUGGUUGGCUGUGUAAGGAAAUGUUGUUUGUGUAAGGCCUGUUGUCUUCUUGUCUCGCGAAUAUUGACGGGGUAAUUUUAAUAAAGUGAAUCAGCUGUC
Long non-coding RNA from Dermacentor albipictus, 520 nucleotides. RefSeq lists it as uncharacterized. The record is from RefSeq and is a predicted model, not a curated record. Lineage: Eukaryota; Metazoa; Arthropoda; Arachnida; Ixodida; Ixodidae.